Molecule: ribosomal RNA, 368 nt
Filed under: uncultured organism
Description: bacterial LSU rRNA
Rfam family: Bacterial large subunit ribosomal RNA
Source: RNAcentral
CUUUACUGUAGCUUUGCAUUGGACUUUGAACCGGUUUGUGUAGGAUAGGUGGGAGGCUGUGAAACCGGGACGCCAGUUUCGGUGGAGCCAACCUUGAAAUACCACCCUGAUUUGUUUGAGGUUCUAACCUUGACCAGUGAAUCCUGGUCGGGGACCGUGCAUGGUAGGCAGUUUGACUGGGGCGGUCUCCUCCCAAAAGGUAACGGAGGAGUACGAAGGUACGCUUAGGGCGGUCGGACAUCGCCCAUAAAGUGCAAUGGCAAAAGCGUGCUUGACUGCGAGACCCACAAGUCGAGCAGGUGCGAAAGCAGGUCAUAGUGAUCCGGUGGUUCUGUAUGGAAGGGCCAUCGCUCAACGGAUAAAAGGUA